Molecule: long non-coding RNA, 408 nt
Organism: Heterocephalus glaber (naked mole-rat)
Lineage: Eukaryota; Metazoa; Chordata; Mammalia; Rodentia; Bathyergidae
Source: Ensembl
AUCAGGUUGUUUCUGUAGGGCACUUCCUUUUCUUUGGCUAUAACUAUGACUUGCUCAUGUGGUAGCAUGAUAUAUUCUAUGGAAAGCUGCUUUAUUCUACAGCUCUCUUAUUUGCUCAAACAAACUUUGAAGGAGAGCAGACUGAAAAUUACUAAUGCAGAGAAUGUAGAAAGAAACAAAGAGAAAUAUCAGAGAUGAACUCGGUUAUCUUCAUGAAAGGUAAUGAAUUCUGUGGAGCACAAGAAAAUAUUUUACACUGUAGAAUUGGACUUCAUAGCCAUAUCCAUGAAAUUCUUCUUGGUUAUAGAAAUGUUGGACCCUAUUUAAACCAAGAUGUAUCUAUAUUUUUUGUGAAGAGGAAUCAUUUUCUUUCACUGAAGGUCUGAACUCCUGAUGGGGAUGACAAGC